UACAGAGGUCUCGAGCGUUAGGCGGAAUCACUGGGCUUAAAGCGUGUGUAGGCGGAUCGUUAAGUGCCUUGUGAAAUCCCACGGCUCAACCGUGGAACUGCUUGGCAUACUGGCGGUCUUGAGCAACCUAGGGGCGAGCGGAACAAAUGGCGGAGCGGUGAAAUGCGUAGAUAUCAUUUGGAACGCCAAUGGUGAAAACAGCUCGCUGGGGGUUUGCUGACGCUGAGACACGAAAGCCAGGGGAGCAAACGGG
RNAcentral lists this ribosomal RNA (253 nucleotides) under uncultured bacterium. RNAcentral describes it as "partial 16S ribosomal RNA". It matches the Rfam family "Bacterial small subunit ribosomal RNA", at positions 524 to 776 of the family's 1533-position model. The record is from RNAcentral.